CCUACGGGUGGCUGCAGUGGGGAAUAUUGGACAAUGGGGGCAACCCUGAUCCAGCCAUGCCGCGUGUGUGAGGAAGGCCCUCGGGUUGUAAAGCACUUUCAGUGAGGAAGAACGCCUGGUGGUUAAUACCCAUCAGGAAAGACAUCACUCACAGAAGAAGCACCGGCUAACUCCGUGCCAGCAGCCGCGGUAAUACGGAGGGUGCGAGCGUUAAUCGGAAUUACUGGGCGUAAAGCGCGCGUAGGUGGCUUGAUAAGCCGGUUGUGAAAGCCCCGGGCUCAACCUGGGAACGGCAUCCGGAACUGUCAAGCUAGAGUGCAGGAGAGGAAGGUAGAAUUCCCGGUGUAGCGGUGAAAUGCGUAGAGAUCGGGAGGAAUACCAGUGGCGAAGGCGGCCUUCUGGACUGACACUGACACUGAGGUGCGAAAGCGUGGGUAGCAAACAGGAUUAGAUACCCUAGUAGUC
RNAcentral lists this ribosomal RNA (465 nucleotides) under Vreelandella stevensii. RNAcentral's name for it is "partial 16S ribosomal RNA". It matches the Rfam family "Bacterial small subunit ribosomal RNA", at positions 338 to 795 of the family's 1533-position model. The record is from RNAcentral. Lineage: Bacteria; Pseudomonadati; Pseudomonadota; Gammaproteobacteria; Oceanospirillales; Halomonadaceae.